GAUGAACGCUGGCGGCGUGCCUAAUACAUGCAAGUCGAGCGAACAGACGAGGAGCUUGCUCCUCUGACGUUAGCGGCGGACGGGUGAGUAACACGUGGAUAACCUACCUAUAAGACUGGGAUAACUUCGGGAAACCGGAGCUAAUACCGGAUAAUAUAUUGAACCGCAUGGUUCAAUAGUGAAAGACGGCUUUGCUGUCACUUAUAGAUGGAUCCGCGCCGCAUUAGCUAGUUGGUAAGGUAACGGCUUACCAAGGCAACGAUGCGUAGCCGAUCUGAGAGGGUGAACGGCCACACUGGAACUGAGACACGGUCCAGACUCCUACGGGAGGCAGCAGUAGGGAAUCUUCCGCAAUGGGCGAAAGCCUGACGGAGCAACGCCGCGUGAGUGAUGAAGGUCUUCGGAUCGUAAAGCUCUGUUAUUAGGGAAGAACAAAUGUGUAAGUAACUAUGCACGUCUUGACGGUACCUAAUCAGAAAGCCACGGCUAACUACGUG
RNAcentral lists this ribosomal RNA (497 nucleotides) under uncultured bacterium. RNAcentral's name for it is "partial 16S ribosomal RNA". It matches the Rfam family "Bacterial small subunit ribosomal RNA", at positions 28 to 507 of the family's 1533-position model. The record is from RNAcentral.